AGACUUUUUAUUUAAAAGCAUUUUCCUUGUAAAUGUCAUAAAUAUAAACGAGCUAUUUCCUUAAAUAGACGCAAAAUAUAAAAUUUCAACAACAUUCUAUACAAGGAAGUUGGCGAUGUCAAAGACAGCUAAAAGCAUCUUCAAGUUUCCUCGUUUAAAGAUAAAGUGUGUGUGUGGUUGUUGAAUAAAUAUAACGCAUACGCCAUGUGUGCCAGAAGCAGCGAAAAAUAAGAUGAUGGCGAAAGCGUGGCUGCCGAUAAUUCAGCGAGCGAUACAAUGGCGAUGAAAAUCGGAAGAUAUGGCAUCAUAUAAAACCUUAAAAAGUGUAUGUCCCCUUAUUUGGAAUUGAGGAGGGUGAAUAAUUUCAAGCUUUAAUGGGAAUAAAGAGGGUGGAAGGCUGAAAAUGA
Molecule: long non-coding RNA, 407 nt
Organism: Drosophila ficusphila
Lineage: Eukaryota; Metazoa; Arthropoda; Insecta; Diptera; Drosophilidae
Exons: 2
Source: RefSeq, a predicted model, not a curated record